GUGGGUGUAGCUCAGUGGUAGAGCAAGCAUGUGCUUAGCAUGUGAGAGGCCCUGGGUUCAAUCCCCAACACACACA
Molecule: non-coding RNA, 76 nt
Organism: Heterocephalus glaber (naked mole-rat)
Lineage: Eukaryota; Metazoa; Chordata; Mammalia; Rodentia; Bathyergidae
Source: Rfam